RNAcentral lists this ribosomal RNA (483 nucleotides) under uncultured bacterium. Its description in RNAcentral is "SSU rRNA". It matches the Rfam family "Bacterial small subunit ribosomal RNA", at positions 26 to 523 of the family's 1533-position model. The record is from RNAcentral.
AGGACGAACGCUGGCGGCGUGCUUCACACAUGCAAGUCGAGCGAGGCCCUUCCUUCGGGGAGGAGCCCUAGCGGCGAACGGGUGAGUAACACGUGGGCAACCUGCCCCUAGCUCUGGGAUAAGCCCGGGAAACCGGGUCUAAUACCGGAUAUGACUCUUGCAGGCAUCUGUGGGAGUGGAAAGAUUUAUCGGCUAGGGAUGGGCCCGCGGCCUAUCAGCUUGUUGGUGGGGUAACGGCCCACCAAGGCGACGACGGGUAGCCGGCCUGAGAGGGCGACCGGCCACACUGGGACUGAGACACGGCCCAGACUCCUACGGGAGGCAGCAGUGGGGAAUCUUGCACAAUGGGCGAAAGCCUGAUGCAGCGACGCCGCGUGAGGGAUGACGGCCUUCGGGUUGUAAACCUCUUUCAGCAGGACGAAGCGAAAGUGACGGUACCUGCAGAAGAAGGACCGGCCAACUACGUGCCAGCAGCCGCGGUAA